GAUCAUGGCUCAGAUUGAACGCUGGCGGCAUGCCUUACACAUGCAAGUCGAACGGCAGCACGGGUGCUUGCACCUGGUGGCGAGUGGCGAACGGGUGAGUAAUACAUCGGAACGUACCUUAUCGUGGGGGGAUAACGCAGCGAAAGCUGUGCUAAUACCGCAUACGCCCUGAGGGGGAAAGCGGGGGAUCGAAAGACCUCGCGCGAUUAGAGCGGCCGAUAUCUGAUUAGCUUGUUGGUGGGGUAAAAGCCCACCAAGGCGACGAUCAGUAGCUGGUCUGAGAGGACGAUCAGCCACACUGGGACUGAGACACGGUCCAGACUCCUACGGGAGGCAGCAGUGGGGAAUUUUCCGCAAUGGGCGAAAGCCUGACGGAGCAAUACCGCGUGAGGGAAGAAUGCCUAUGGGUUGUAAACCUCUUUUUUCAGGGAGGAAUAAAAUGACGUGUACCUGAAGAAUAAGCAUCGGCUAACUCCGUG
RNAcentral lists this ribosomal RNA (479 nucleotides) under uncultured bacterium. Its description in RNAcentral is "bacterial SSU rRNA". It matches the Rfam family "Bacterial small subunit ribosomal RNA", at positions 15 to 507 of the family's 1533-position model. The record is from RNAcentral.